CAAGCAGAUGUUCCUGGGAGGCACGCUCUGCCCACUCUACUAUUUUGCUUAGGGCUCAGGGGCCCCCAUCUAGGGUGUCCAAAGGCAGAAGAAAAGUGACAAAGCAGGAGGGCACCCCACUUCCCGAUGCACAAAGCUGGAGGAUCCUCGAGAGGGCAAAUGUGAAGGUCUGAGGCGGCUUCAGGGCUGCAAUUUUCCGGAUGGUAGGGGAAAACCAAGGCACAGAGAGAUGAUCUACCCAAAGUCACUCAGUAAGUCAGAAAACCAACUGAACAAAGGGCAAGGUAAGAUCACCUGUGUACCUUUCAGUGUCUCAUCCAGAAAGCCAGACUGUGUCCUUCUCGAGUGAACAGACAUACUUUAGAAGAAGGUAGUUUUAGGUGGAACUUUCUAUUAUGGUUCCAAAGCUCUCUAGGAAAUCAGGAGCCACAAGGUAAGAACCCGUAAGUAUCAGAUUAACCCUUUAGUUAAAUGCCUCUGACUCACAGACAAUGUCAAUUAUUACAGCUAGCUGCUGAUAAACUGGUGACCAACAAGAAGAAAAUUUGAGGGAAAAAUUCACCCCUUCAAGAAAGAAACCUUGGCACAGCUCUCCUCCUGGUUACACAUCUGAAAUGUAACACCCAAGUACUGCUCCCUCUACACAAUGAUUUUGUAUCUGCUGGCAGGCAAUUGGGGCGGGGGUGCAGAUGGAGUGUGUGUAUGUAUAUGUGUGUGCAUAACAUCAGACAUUUUAGGGACAAUUCUGCCCAGCAGAA
Molecule: long non-coding RNA, 758 nt
Organism: Hyaena hyaena (striped hyena)
Lineage: Eukaryota; Metazoa; Chordata; Mammalia; Carnivora; Hyaenidae
Exons: 3
Source: RefSeq, a predicted model, not a curated record